UCUCUAUGACGAUUAACAGUGAUGACGAGUCUGAUCUCUACAUACUCCAUUCUAUUCAUCCUGCUGACAAAUCGAGGCAUUUGUCUGAGAGAA
Vitis vinifera (wine grape) is the source of this 93-nucleotide small nucleolar RNA. It matches the Rfam family "Plant small nucleolar RNA SNOR75". Rfam says of the family: U15 is a member of the C/D class of snoRNA which contain the C (UGAUGA) and D (CUGA) box motifs. NCBI's taxonomy places the organism in Eukaryota, Viridiplantae, Streptophyta, Magnoliopsida, Vitales, Vitaceae. The record is from Rfam.